UACGGAGGGUGCAAGCGUUGUCCGGAUUUAUUGGGUUUAAAGGGUGCGUAGGCGGCCUUAUAAGUCAGUGGUGAAAGCCCAUCGCUCAACGAUGGAACUGCCAUUGAUACUGUAAGGCUUGAGUACAGACGAGGUAGGCGGAAUUGAUGGUGUAGCGGUGAAAUGCAUAGAUACCAUCAAGAACACCGAUUGCGUAGGCAGCUUACUAGGCUGUAACUGACGCUGAGGCACGAAAGCGUGGGGAGCGAACAGG
This 253-nucleotide ribosomal RNA is filed under the name uncultured bacterium. RNAcentral describes it as "partial 16S ribosomal RNA". It matches the Rfam family "Bacterial small subunit ribosomal RNA", at positions 524 to 776 of the family's 1533-position model. The record is from RNAcentral. RNAcentral also lists the same sequence under 1 other name.